RNAcentral lists this ribosomal RNA (497 nucleotides) under uncultured bacterium. Its description in RNAcentral is "partial 16S ribosomal RNA". It matches the Rfam family "Bacterial small subunit ribosomal RNA", at positions 28 to 507 of the family's 1533-position model. The record is from RNAcentral.
GAUGAACGCUGGCGGCGUGCCUAAUACAUGCAAGUCGAGCGAACAGACGAGGAGCUUGCUCCUCUGACGUUAGCGGCGGACGGGUGAGUAACACGUGGAUAACCUACCUAUAAGACUGGGAUAACUUCGGGAAACCGGAGCUAAUACCGGAUAAUAUAUUGAACCGCAUGGUUCAAUAGUGAAAGACGGUUUUGCUGUCACUUAUAGAUGGAUCCGCGCCGCAUUAGCUAGUUGGUAAGGUAACGGCUUACCAAGGCGACGAUGCGUAGCCGACCUGAGAGGGUGAUCGGCCACACUGGAACUGAGACACGGUCCAGACUCCUACGGGAGGCAGCAGUAGGGAAUCUUCCGCAAUGGGCGAAAGCUUGUCGGAGCAACGCCGCGUGAGUGAUGAAGGUCUUCGGAUCGUAAAACUCUGUUAUUAGGGAAGAACAAAUGUGUAAGUAACUAUGCACGUCUUGACGGUACCUAAUCAGAAAGCCACGGCUAACUACGUG